GUGCUCGCUUCAGCAGCACAUAUACUAAAAUUGGAACGAUACAGAGAAGAUUAGCAUGGCCCCUGCACAAGCAUG
This 75-nucleotide small nuclear RNA is filed under the name Tupaia belangeri (northern tree shrew). Lineage: Eukaryota; Metazoa; Chordata; Mammalia; Scandentia; Tupaiidae. The record is from RNAcentral.